AGUGCAUUCAACUAUAAGGUUACGAACACAGAACAGCGUGAAUCAUGUGUGUAAAUGUACUAAACACCACAAAAAAUAAACCUGGCCUCAGUCAAAUACUUAUCCCAUAUGAAUUAACCGCUGCUCACGUCACCCGCUCGCGUCAUCAGCUGAUGGACUCGUCCAAUCAGAGCCUCGUAAACGCCGUGCAGCAGCGUCGAGUGUCCCGCAGACAGGAAGCGGGUCGUGUUUAGCUUGUCCCGUACGAGUGACUCUGUCUUCGGGGUAAAUAACUUGCUGAAGUCGACACGACGCUGUUCCCUGGAGGAGAAGAUGAGUGCGUGUGGAGGCAGAGCCGCGGGCCCGGUGUGGACGAGUCGAGGCGGAGAAGACGGGCGCACAGUCCCUGAGUUACGCCUCAGCCCCCCCCCCACACACACACACACACACACGCACACACACACACAAACAAAGAGGCGUUAGGCUGAGACGCUGAAAGUCCGGAUUUAAAGUGCAGAAAAUGAAGCCAUUGAAUCUGCCUGUCCAUGACGUACAAAGACACACUAUGAGCCAGUAUGAUCCGACCAGACCUUACAUCAGCAUUGAGGAGUUGUCGGAGAAGAAAGAGGCUGAUUGAAGCGGGACAGAUGACAUGGAUCCAUCCUUCCACAGCCAGGAGUGCACCGACCUGUGUCCCACACUUCAUAUAAGACUGGAAGCUACACUGAUCUCACAGCUACACACCACAGACGUCUACACACUGGAGAAGAGUCCCACAAAGAAGUCAUGACCCAGAGGCUGCAGAGAAACAUUUCAAGCCUCAUCUGAGUUUUUGUACAAUAUUUUUGCUGUAUGUAAAUAAAGCUUUCACUCCACA
Long non-coding RNA from Limanda limanda (common dab), 856 nucleotides. RefSeq lists it as uncharacterized. The transcript is spliced from 4 exons. The record is from RefSeq and is a predicted model, not a curated record. NCBI's taxonomy places the organism in Eukaryota, Metazoa, Chordata, Actinopteri, Pleuronectiformes, Pleuronectidae.